CCUACGGGAGGCAGCAGUGAGGAAUAUUGGUCAAUGGCCGAGAGGCUGAACCAGCCAAGUCGCGUGAGGGAAGACGGCCCUACGGGUUGUAAACCUCUUUUGUAGGGGAGCAAAGAGAGUCACGUGUGACUCAUUGAGAGUACCCGAUGAAAAAGCAUCGGCUAACUCCGUGCCAGCAGCCGCGGUAAUACGGAGGAUGCGAGCGUUAUCCGGAUUUAUUGGGGUUAAAGGGUGCGCAGGCGGAGGUGCAAGUCAGCGGUCAAAUUGUGGGGCUCAACCUCGUACUGCCGUUGAAACUGCUAGUCUAGAGUGGGCUAGAAGUAUGCGGAAUGCGUGGUGUAGCGGUGAAAUGCAUAGAUAUCACGCAGAACUCCGAUUGCGAAGGCAGCAUACCGGCGCCCAACUGACGCUCAUGCACGAAAGCGUGGGUAUCGAACAGGAUUAGAUACUCGUGUAGUC
Molecule: ribosomal RNA, 459 nt
Filed under: uncultured bacterium
Lineage: Bacteria
Description: partial 16S ribosomal RNA
Rfam family: Bacterial small subunit ribosomal RNA
Source: RNAcentral